RNAcentral lists this ribosomal RNA (494 nucleotides) under uncultured bacterium. RNAcentral's name for it is "bacterial SSU rRNA". It matches the Rfam family "Bacterial small subunit ribosomal RNA", at positions 8 to 526 of the family's 1533-position model. The record is from RNAcentral.
AGAGUUUGAUCAUGGCUCAGAACGAACGUUGGCGGCGUGGAUCAGGCAUGCAAGUCGUACGAUCCCAGCAAUGGGAGAGUGGCGUAAGGGGCAGUAAGGCAUGGGCAACCUACCCCCCGGACCGGCAUAGCCGGCCUAACGGCCGGGUAAUACUGGGCAACAUCCUUUAGGGGCAUCCCUUUCGGAUCAGACGGGCACCCGCCGGGGGCGGGACUCAUGUGCUAUUAGCUGGUUGGCGGGGUAACGGCCCACCAAGGCAAAGAUGGCUAGCGGGUGUGAGAGCACGACCCGCGCCACUGGCACUGAGACACUGGCCAGACUCCUACGGGAGGCUGCAGUCGAGGAUCUUUGGCAAUGAGCGCAAGCUUGACCAAGCGACGCCGCGUGGACGACGAAGGCCUUCGGGUUGUAAAGUCCAAAAGGGGGAAACAAGGGUAACUUGAGUGCACCCCAGUAAGCACGGGCUAAGUUCGUGCCAGCAGCCGCGGUAAUAC